This 8297-nucleotide long non-coding RNA is filed under the name Homo sapiens (human). RNAcentral's name for it is "HSALNT0389502". The record is from RNAcentral. Lineage: Eukaryota; Metazoa; Chordata; Mammalia; Primates; Hominidae.
AGAAGGAGGCCAGGAGUUGUGAGUUUCCAAGCCCCAGCUCACUCUGACCACUUCUCUGCCUGCCCAGCAUCAUGAAGGGCCUUGCAGCUGCCCUCCUUGUCCUCGUCUGCACCAUGGCCCUCUGCUCCUGUGCACAAGUUGGUACCAACAAAGAGCUCUGCUGCCUCGUCUAUACCUCCUGGCAGAUUCCACAAAAGUUCAUAGUUGACUAUUCUGAAACCAGCCCCCAGUGCCCCAAGCCAGGUGUCAUCCUCCUAACCAAGAGAGGCCGGCAGAUCUGUGCUGACCCCAAUAAGAAGUGGGUCCAGAAAUACAUCAGCGACCUGAAGCUGAAUGCCUGAGGGGCCUGGAAGCUGCGAGGGCCCAGUGAACUUGGUGGGCCCAGGAGGGAACAGGAGCCUGAGCCAGGGCAAUGGCCCUGCCACCCUGGAGGCUACCUCUUCUAAGAGUCCCAUCUGCUAUGCCCAGCCACAUUAACUAACUUUAAUCUUAGUUUAUGCAUCAUAUUUCAUUUUGAAAUUGAUUUCUAUUGUUGAGCUGCAUUAUGAAAUUAGUAUUUUCUCUGACAUCUCAUGACAUUGUCUUUAUCAUCCUUUCCCCUUUCCCUUCAACUCUUCGUACAUUCAAUGCAUGGAUCAAUCAGUGUGAUUAGCUUUCUCAGCAGACAUUGUGCCAUAUGUAUCAAAUGACAAAUCUUUAUUGAAUGGUUUUGCUCAGCACCACCUUUUAAUAUAUUGGCAGUACUUAUUAUAUAAAAGGUAAACCAGCAUUCUCACUGUGACGACUCUGUUGAUUUUGUUUCACUAAUCGGAAUCACAGACUGAGAGGAAUUCUGGGGGAGGAGUAGGGAAAUAUGAAAAGGGGCAGAAACAGCAAGAUAGGGACCAAGUACUUCUACAGUCAUACCAGACAUUUCCCUGGAGAUACUUUCCUGAAAAGUUGAAACAGACACCAUUAGUUUAUAAACCAUAUUGUAACUGAAAUGUGAUAGAAAAAUUUUCUACUUAAAUGAAUAUCAAGAUGACGCUGCAAUGCAUAUUUACGCACACAAGCUCAUUUUCAUAAAUGAAGCUUUCCUCAGAAUGAUGGCUAACAUCUGUUGAGGUCUUACCAAGUGCUGGGUUUUGGGCUAAGUACUUAUAUUAGUAAAAGUCUAGCAAAUACUGCCCAUAGUCUAGCAAGGACUCCUUACCUGGAAGUUGCUGAAAGCCUUGAGCAAGUUUGCCAACCUGUAUCUUAAUUCAUCUUUGUGGCCAGAGAAGUGGAUUUACUGAUUUGUUUCAGCUGAUCAAUGUCUAUAACAAGCAAUGUUGAUGGGCUGAAAACCACACAGACUACCAGAGGGGUUGCUUUUCCGAAGAAUCAUGUAAGGAUAAAAGAGAAAGAAAGAGAGAAAGACCUUGGAACCCAACUAGUAUCUACCAAAUAGACAGGAUCUCACUGUGUUGCCCAGGCUGGUCGCCAACUCCUGGCCUCAAGUGUUCCUCUGGCCCUGGCCUCCCAAAGCACUGGGAUUACAGGGGCAGCUCUUCCCUGGUUCCCUGCAGACCCCAGGUCAGGCCAGAAAACACCUCUAUGGCCCUUCCCUGUGUCCCACCACCAGAUAGGACCUCAAAGGCCUGGGGUCCCCAGGAUGGCCCUCAAACCGACUGGUGCCCUUGCAGGCUGCCACCCUCCAAGUCCUGCUUCUCUCCAGAGAUGGGCAGAAGCACCAGCCCUCGCCUGGCACCAGCAGUGAGUCUCAUAAUUGCCAUUUACCAUUUUGCUAGGGGGGCUUCUGGGGGUCCUAGGAAAAGCAGCAGAUGCCUGGGUGCUUGGGGACCUGGGCAUUCUGAGGGAAGGAGCAGCGUGACCCUGAGUCAUUUUUCACUGGGGACAAGUGAGCCAACUCCUUCUACCCAGUGAUAAAAUCAGAAGGAAGUAGAUGGAGACAGCACUGUUCAGGGGAUGAUUUGGGGAUGAGAAGAACUGGCAGGAAGUUGGAGAUUUGGGGGUGAGAAGAACCAGCAGGAAGUUGGGGAUUUCUUGUUUCCCCACUUUUCCCUUCCAUUUCUGUUUGAGCCUUAGGUUUGGCCUCCAUCUCCCUCUGUAGAAAUUGCAGCUAGUUAGAUAGUCUGCCUCUUAUUCCAGCUCUACUGGGGGAACAUAAUAUGGUCUAAGAAGAAAUUUUUCCAGCAAGAGGCCAUCUCUGCAAAUCACCUGUGAGGCAGACCUGUGGCAAUUUUAUGACUCAGCUGGCCACCAGGAAGCGAUUGUAGCUGGGUUCUGCCCCUUAUUGAAACCUACUCAAUGUUCUCCUUCACUAAGUAGGACAAGACCGUACCCUGCCUUUAAGGUUUAUAGAAUAGAAAGUGAAAACACUUUGGGGAAGAAAAUCUUCCUGAACAGAUAGCCCAGGGCAUUUUGAAAAUCCCUUAGGAAGUUCUCUGUUUCACUUGGGUACCUCUGUCCCUGGACUUUGGCGAUGUGGUUUGACCCCAGCCAGAGAGUGCAGGGAACAACAGCAAAAGGCAGGACAAAGACUGACUCGUGAGAGGAGGCCCAGGAACAGGGGGGCAUCGUGAGAGAGGAGGACGUGAGGGCCCAAGAGUGUGAGCAGAAGAGGAUAGGACUUGGGCACUCAGUCACCAGCUGUGGGGUCUGAGCUGUGUCCCCUUCUCUAAAGAGGUAAGCCCUGAGUCAUGGGAAGAUGGAAACCGGGGCUCAUGAGACAGGAUGUUUUUUAAGCACCGUGGUGUCUUGUUGACUUGCACAUGCAAGGGGGUCUUGGGUAACCACAGGGCUCAGGGUAUUUGCAGGAACAGUUCAAGUGCUCACUUGUCUUGGGGCUGUUUGUGGGGAAGUGGUUUCCACAGCAACAGGAGGUGAGAUAUUGGUGUUACCCCAGACCACACUUAGCUACUUCCUUCUCACUAAAGCUCUGUAGUCAUAUUUUCCCUGGCAGAGCAGAAACUUCUCUGUUAUCCCACAGCUGUUCUAACGGUGUAGACUUGACUUAUGCAAUGAUGCCAGGAGUCCUGAGCAGCACAGCCCAACUUCAAUCACACACAGAUGGACAGAGCUGUAUUAGCAAAGCCUGAGCUACUGAGCGAUGAGAGUACAGCCAGGCUUUCAGACAUCUGUUCAUUCAAGAGAGAUAUGCGCUAAGCCAAGGACCUAAAGAUGUGUUUAAUAUGGGUGCUAAUAUGCAUAAGGAACCUUGAAAUAAAUGUUCUUAGCCUUUGGCCAAGAGGGUCCAUGUCUAGGAAUCUAUUCUCCAUAGAAAUAAAUUCAAAUAUGGAAAAAAUGAACAAUGCAUAAGUGUAUUUGGUCCCCAGCAUAUUUAUAGCAACUUAAAAUUGGACCCAAUUUAAAUUGCCUAUGAUAUGGAAAUGGCUAAGAAAAUUAUGGGAUCUUCCCUUGAUUGGCUAUUAGGCAGCCUUUACAAACAAUGCAGUGACAUGAGAAAUGCUUAUGUUAUGGUAAGCUUAAAAAACUCAAGAUGCAAAUCAGCUUAUUUUAAUCAGGAGCCACCUAGCAUUUGGGAUGUGGUCAAUCCCACAUAAUGUAUUUUUGUGGGUGCAGUUCCCAGGAAAGAGGAGGAAUAAAAACGGCAAGUAUGAAGUGUCUCCUUCGCUUGCAGUCUCCUUGUCUACCCCUUUGUCCAUCCACUAUGAAAGGACUCCCUUCUGUUCCUUAAUAUGGACAAUUUCUAUUGAGGACUCAUUGUUCUAAGAAUUGUCUCAUCUCCUCCUGCAUCCUCAGUGCCCGAUCUUUGGCUUCUAUGAAGGAAGGUGGGUAGUGCUUAUGGCAGGGCCAGUUCUACCUUUCUCAGUAUGUUCUGGAGUGGGUAUGUAGCCCCAUUUUCUAGUGGUUACCUUGACAUCAUGAAGAGUUUAUGUCUCUUUUGCCCUAGAUUUGGGCAAUAGUCAUUCAUUGGGCAACUGGAAAUAACACAAGUCAGCAUCUCAUUAAAAAUAAAGUCAUUCAGGAAAGUGGACGACUAAUAGUUUCUAAUCUAGAGAGCAUAGGAGAAGAAAUGUUUACCACACACAAAGUAUUAGUGCCUUUUAUAUCAUCAAGACAAAAAUAACAGGAAAAAGACAAACACAUUAUAGUGAAAACUUGUUUUUCCUGACCAGCAUCUAUUCUGCAUGUUCCCUGAUGCCAGAAACUCACAUUUCUUCAGGGCAAACCCCCUUCCCCACCAUUCUCAGGCUUUAAGUUUAUGUAAAAUUCAGUAAACCCAAAGAUUCAAGUUAUGUGCCUUGAUUAACUUAAGCAAAUCAAUGAAACCCAUCCCCAUAACCACAGCGACUGGUUAGGAAUUCGGUUCCUAAGUCAGUCAAAUCCAAAAGGGCCUAGUGAUGUUUUUUCCAAUGGGAACACAGACUCACUCUUCCCUGCAGAAAAUGAACAAGGAUUCAUGUACACUGGCAGGUACUGGCAGCCACCCAGGGCCUCUCACAGGAAAGGGAGAUCAGAAAGAGAAGCAAAGAGGACUCAUGAGAUACCACAGGGCCGCUGCGUCCAGCCUUGCCUGGAGCUAGGGCCACCUCGAUGCCCUAUAGUCUUGGAGCCACAAGGUGCAUUUACUCAAAGCCUCUUUGAGUUUGGUUUGCUUGUUUGCUUUCUGCCUGGAAACUGCCAGCAUCCUGAGAGAUACGAGAUCUGCAUCUGUGCAGAGACACAGGGUUUGUUAAAAGUCACAGGCCCUGACUGAAGUGUGGAACUGGCUGAAAUGAGAAAGUAGGAGGUAAUUUGGUGAGGACCUUGUGAAAUGGAAGUGAGUUUUAAACCUUACAUGCAUCAGAAUUACCUGGAGCCUUGUGAAAACACAGGUUGCUGGGCCCUAGUCUAUUAAGAAAGGAAGUGGGGCUCAGAAUAUGCCUUUCUCCCAAGUUCCCAGGUGAUAUUCACCAUGCUGUCCUGUCUGGGCACUACCUUUUGCCAUACCCAUUACAAGGUAUUGCACGUGCUGGUUGAACUAUGGUCUGUCUUAUUUUGGUGCUAAAAGCCUGUGCCAAAUACCAAGGCUGCAGCAUUAAGGAAUUUGUUAGAAAAGAUUCUGAAUAUUGGAAUUUAGUUGCUGUGUAUUAUAUCAGUAAGGUCCUUUAAGAAAGAGUUUAGGCUACUUUGAAAUGGGCUCAUCUGAAAUUGAAAAAGAAGAAAUGCGACUUGCUAAAAAGGCCCUUCCAGCCUGUUGACUGAGAAUCCAGUAAUCUGAAGACUGAAAGGGCUGUAAAUGCAGGAUUUUCUACUCUAAGAUAAAGUUAGCAUGAGCAGAGACAGGAAGAUGAGAGACAUAAUGAGGCCAAGCGUCAAAUAUUCAUCACCUCCACAUGGGCCAAGAUGCAGGCAGAGGUCUCUCACCAGGGGCUGGGAGGUCGGGGUGACAAUGGUAGUGCAGUCUGUGCUAGAAAGUGCACAUCCCCAGCUGGGCGCAGUGGCUCACGCCUGUAAGCUCAGCACUUUGGGAGGCCAAUGCUGGCGGAUCAUGAGGUCAGGAGUUAGAGGCCAGCCUGGCCAACAUGGUGAAACCCUAUCUCUACUAAAAAUAUAAAAACUUAGCUGGGUGUGGUGGCGGGCACCUGUAAUUCAGCUACUUGGGAGGCUGAGGCAGGAGAAUCGCUUGAACCCGGAAGGCGGAGGUUACAGUGAGCCGCGAUCACGCCACUGCACUCUAGCCUGGGUGAUAGUGGGAGACUCCAUCUCAAAAAAAAAAAAAAAAAAAGAAAAAAGAAAAUGCACAUCCCCAACCCCAGUUAAAAUGCAAAUGCAAACUAUGUAACUGACAACCUGUCUGCUUCUGGCUACCUGGCCCAUGGAAUUGAUCAGAAGCAAAUAGUAGCCUACAGACAUUAGAAGGGAGUCACAUUGCCAAAGAAACCAUAAGACUGGUUCCAAAAAGUUGCUGAUUGCACAAUACCUAAGGCAACCUCAGGCUAACUCACACAGACAGGAAGUCAGCAGCCUCCAGAAAGCAGAUCCUCCACAUUGCACAUCUCAGAUUGUCCAUAGAGGACAUUCUCCCAGGGAGGAGAGCUAGGGACUGCCAGAUCAGCUGAACUGCUUAAAAAUGCAGUACCCAUUCUCCAGUUCCCUAUCAGGGGUCUUUGUUCAACUUACUGUUUGUUCAUAACACUUGUAUUUAGGGAAUGUUGGGCAUGAUUAAACUUCGUUUAGCUUUGGGUUUCUAGACCUUGAGAAACAAUUCAGUGCAGGCAAAUAUUGUAUGCCCCUAUAUUUUUUCCUGAAAGCCAAUAAAGAAGGAAUGAUGACACCUUCACUGCGUCUAUGGGGACAAAAGCUGCUUGUGUGUGUGUGUGUGUGUGUGUGUGUGUGUGUGUGCGUGUGUGUGUGUGAGAGAGAGAGAGAGAGAGAGAAACAGCCUUGUCAAAAAGACGUGUUUGUUGCUGUACCCUCAUUAUAUGAAAGCCAUCAUGGCAUCAAAACAGUAUAAGCCAGGUUGAGCUCUAUCCUCUCUGCAUCAACUCAGAAUCCCUACCAGAAAGUGGUUGUGAUGGAUGGAAUAUCACCCAUCAAAGAAUAGGGUAAGAUGAGACCAGAGAGGUAAGCUAUGCAAGCUAAUCAGAAAAUAACUCAAAGUUUUAAAAGUGCAGAAUAUAAAAAGGAAAAACCCUCAUUCCUAAAAAAAAAAAAAAGCCUCAUUUCCUCAAAGAAAUCAGUUAGCUAUUUGAUGUGUAUCUUUCCAAAUAUUUGCCUAUGUAAAUAUAUAUGUAUAUAUGGCAUUUAAAAAUAAAACAAAAUAAUAUACUUUACAGAUAGUUCCAUAGCAUAUGUAGAGAAUAUAUAUGCAUAUACUGAAUGUAAUUAGGUCUGCCUUUUACAUAUAAUAUUAUGGACACUUUCCACAGUUAUAGAUGUGUGCUACUUUUUUUUUACUGACUUCAGAAUAUUCCACUGAUGGACAUCUUAAUCCUCUACUGAUUAAUCCCCUACUGAUGACUGUUUGCAUUUCUUUGCUGUUUGCCAACCACACUGCAAAGAAUAUCCUCAUGUCUACAUAUCUUAUCUUUUGGCAGUGUUUCUAUGAAGCAGAUUCCUAGAAAUGGGAUCAGGUCAAAUGGGAUGUAGUUCACAUAGUAUAUGCAUUUUAAUAUUUGCUAAGUAGUAGUGUUUAUGCUUUAAAGAGUUGGAACACUACAAUUCUAAACAUGUUUGGACACAAAAAAUAGAUUAUUUGAAACAAAAUGAAAUAAGCAUAGCUCGUAAAAAUUAACACGUUUGGUUUUCACACAAAUAUUUUGAAUUUCUCUUUCUUCUGCAAAAAGGACCCUAGCUUAGUAUGGAUUUCUUGUACAGAUAAUGCAAACAAUCCAUCUAUUAAAUAACUUACCUUUCACAGUAAACCUAUAGACAGCAUCCUGCUCCACACAGAAGCUGAUUGUCUUUUCCUUCUCUAACAUUAGCUAUUUAUUUUGUAGAGUGUAGAUUCUAGAGAAAUAAUGUAUAAUACACCUGUUGCCAUAUGCAGAGACUUACCACAUUUAGAAAACAGUGGUGAAUUCUAUUGACAGUGGCUCUCAGUCAUUAACAUGCUAUGGAACACCUCAUGAGCUUGAUAAAAAUAUCAGUUCCCAGGUCUACACUUAAAGAUCCUAUUUAAGUGGCUUCAACAAUCACUGCUCAAACACUCUAUGUCAACUCAGAAUCCUGACAGGAAGUGGUUGCAAUGGAUAAAGUAUCAUCUGUUAAAGAAUGGGGUAAGAUUUGAGUAUAGGCGGGUCAUACUUUGGGAAAUAACUUGGUCAAUGGUUAACAGCAUAGUCUGUAGUUCAAUAAAAGUCCAGUUUUGGAACACAAUUGACCGUUUACGUGCUGUGUAACCUCAGCCAAGUUGUCUAACCUUUCUGAGCCCUGGGUUACUUUUCUGUCAAGUGGAGGUAUUAAUAGUACCUAAGCUGUACUAUUGCAUUGGUAAGAUUAAAUGAGCAAUGUAUAAAAAGCGCUCAGUAGGAGGAGUAAGCCUCAACAAUGUAAAUAAUUGCUAUUAAGAGCUUGAUUCAUCAUGAAUAUGCCCUACAGAAUACUAUGCUUAAUGGUGGCCAUUCGAGUAGUGAAUUCUCCUAGAGCAUGCAUGUUAUGAUUUGAGUUAUAACAUAUUCGUAGUUUCAAUGUUCCAGAACUGUGUCUCCGUUGUAAAGUGGAUAACUCUGUGGUAGCCCUCCCCAUCUCUCCCAAUUUCCCUCCAUUUCACCUCUUCCUAAUCUUUGCCUAUGAUUCCUCUUAACCAGUGAUUUUGAUUUGCCAGAAAAACAAAACCAAACUCAAUACUGGUUUACCUUUUAAAAGAG